GAUGAACGCUGGCGGCGUGCCUAAUACAUGCAAGUCGAGCGAACAGACGAGGAGCUUGCUCCUCUGACGUUAGCGGCGGACGGGUGAGUAACACGCGGAUAACCUACCUAUAAGACUGGGAUAACUUCGGGAAACCGGAGCUAAUACCGGAUAAUAUAUUGAACCGCAUGGUUCAAUAGUGAAAGACGGUUUUGCUGUCACUUAUAGAUGGAUCCGCGCCGCAUUAGCUAGUUGGUAAGGUAACGGCUUACCAAGGCAACGAUGCGUAGCCGACCUGAGAGGGUGAUCGGCCACACUGGAACUGAGACACGUUCCAGACACCUACGGGAGGCAGCAGUAGGGAAUCUUCCGCAAUGGGCGAAAGCCUGACGGAGCAACGCCGCGUGAAUGAUGAAGGUCUUCGGAUCGUAAAACUCUGUUAUUAGGGAAGAACAAAUGUGUAAGUAACUAUGCACGUCUUGACGGUACCUAAUCAGAAAGCCACGGCUAACUACGUG
RNAcentral lists this ribosomal RNA (497 nucleotides) under uncultured bacterium. RNAcentral's name for it is "partial 16S ribosomal RNA". It matches the Rfam family "Bacterial small subunit ribosomal RNA", at positions 28 to 507 of the family's 1533-position model. The record is from RNAcentral.